RNAcentral lists this long non-coding RNA (467 nucleotides) under Phasianus colchicus (ring-necked pheasant). RNAcentral describes it as "lncRNA (ENSPCLG00000015547.1)". The record is from RNAcentral. Lineage: Eukaryota; Metazoa; Chordata; Aves; Galliformes; Phasianidae.
UGGGGAGCUGUAUCAGAGCUCCUCAGCCCAAUGAAGCAGGUCUAUCCAUGGAGCUUCCAUGAGAACUGGUCUAACAGGAGCUCUGACAAGAGACGACUUUGAUGCAGGAGGCACAGGUGCAGCAAGCAUGCACAGAGGCCACUUUGAACACAGACAACAAGCAUCAAAUUCUAAGCUGCAAGAAUGAUAAAACAAGGCUCACCAGUUUCCCCAAAUGUACUAGUAAAUGGGGAAAAAACAACACUUGAGGCAAGCUUUCUGCCUGAGUUGUGGAAAAGAGAAGAUGGGACUGGACUCUGGACAUCUAUCUGAACAAAAGCACACUGCUAAUGGAUAAGACAGCAGUGAGACUGUAAAUAAGUAAAUGAAAAUUUAGAACGCACAAAGAAGUUCUUGGUCUUUUUCAGUGAAAGGCCCAAAUAUUUUUCCUUUAUGCCAAUUAUAUUAGUCAACAGUGCAGACCAGAG